This is a non-coding RNA of Paramuricea clavata, 362 nucleotides long. Lineage: Eukaryota; Metazoa; Cnidaria; Anthozoa; Malacalcyonacea; Plexauridae. The record is from the annotation of a GenBank genome assembly.
UAGACGAGUAUAUGACUGUAAAGUACCGGUAUGUACAUACAAAAUAUACUCUGUUGUCUGGUGAAGUAUAUCACUAUAUCGUGUAUAUUUCGCAAUACCGAGGCUUAGUGAAGACUUCCUUGGUAUUCAUGGCUUCAAGCAAACUGGUUCAAAUGCUAACUGAUUGCAAGCGUAUUUGGUCUUGGAGUAUACGAGUUAAACACUCCAGUAAAGUUCACUCAAAACUCCAUGCAUACAAUAUAACUGGCGCACAUGUAUAAACUCCUCUUAGAAACAGUUUAACAGAUAAUAACAAGUUUUAUAGUGCCUAAUAGUAUAUCACUUGUGGGACCUUUAUGGAUUUGAAAAGAGCGUAAAAAGUU